UGAUGUUUAAGCAAGAUUUAUUAACACAGGGAAAGAGUAGGGUAGUGGCAGACAACCCUAGCUUUGUGGCUUCCAGCAGUUCUUUUUCCUUCUGGUUACAUCAGCCUCAACCAUUCCUCCCUUACAUUCUAUAUUUGCAUUUUUAUUAGGCUGUGCCAUCCUCAAGCUUGGGAGUGGACCUGAGAUUGGCAAGAAAAUCAGCAUAUUUUAUCCUCCUCUUCGCCAUAGAGAUGGGUGCAGGGAUAGCCACAUGACCCACACCUAUUCAAUCAGAGCCUUUUGUUCUGGAAAAAAAAAAAAAAAAAAGUGAAAGAGGAGCUCGAUUUCCCUGCUCUAUUUAGUAAGCUGGCAAGUGCACAGCAAAUGCUCUUGAUGGUCAUCUUUUCCAUAUGAGGGAAGAGUUUCUGUAGGGUGAAGCCAAUGUAGAAGGACUUGAAGCCAAGGAGAUGGGGACCUACAGAGUCUUAAAGAUGUUGUUUGAGACUCUAGAUUCAGCCACACCAGAAGCCAGCUCCAUUUAGAUUUUUCCAUUUAGGUACAUAAUAAAUUAUCUUUGUGCUUAGACCAGCAUGAAUCGAAUUUCUUUCACUAACCCUGAUGGAUAUCAGGGUGGGCUAAGGAGCUAAGUAGUAUGGCACUGGGAAGAAGACAAGAAUGAACCUAGAAUUUUGGGGGACUGCAGCAGAGAUACUGAGAACCUUAUAGCAGGGGUGGUUUGGCAGGAGCAAUGUGAAAUGAAGUCUAUGAAUAGAUUUUUUGCCAGAUCUUGGACUGUUUGUUUCAGAAGGCCAAGAUGUUUGAAUUUUUUUCUUGAAGACAAAGACUGAAGAGGUACCUGAGCUGGGCUGGUGCAGCUUCAGCUUUUCAGAGAAUGCAAGUUAAUGUGGCAGCAAAUCUUUUACAGAGAACUGAUCAGAGAUCCCCCAAAAGUAAGGGGUGAGUUAGUCAUUGAUAUGGUUUGAAUCUGUGUCUCCACCCAAAUCUCAUGUCAAAUUGUAAUUCCCAGUAGUGGAGGUGGGGCCUGGUGGAAGGUGAUUGGAUCAAGGAGGUGGAUUUCUUGUGAAUGGUUUAGUACCAAUCCCUUGGUGCUGUUCUCAUGAUAGCGAGUGAGCUCUUGCAAGAUCUGGUCGUUUGAAAGUGGAGCAUCUUUCCCCUCACUCUCUCUCUCUCCUGCUUCUGCUUCUGCCAUGUAAGACGUGCCUGUUUCCCUUUCACCUUCUGCCAUGAUUGUAAGUUUCCUGAGUCCUCCUUGGAAGUCAAGCAGUUUCCAGCAUCAUGCUUCCUGUACAGCCUGCUGAACUGUGAGCCAAUUAAACUUCUUUUCUUUAUAAAUUACCCAGUCUCAAGUAUUUCUUUAUAGCAAUGUGAGAAUGGACUUAUACCGUCAUUGAUUGCUCUAGCUCUGCUGUUAGCAGUGCCCUAAUUGACAAAAUCUUGCACCAGGUGUUGCAACAAUGGCUUCAUCUCAGGCAACCUGUUAGAGGGGCUAUGGAGAUUUCUCUUUCCUUUGUAGAAAGCGAUUCAUAACAGGCUCUGUUUUGGGUGCUAAGGUCUGGUCUGUCCGGUUCGUUAAUUCUCAGCAGGGUGACUUCCCAUUUGUAACAUGCUUGCCUUGCACAGGACUUUUGACUUGAGUCCCAGCUUUUAAUAGCUUCUGCCUCAGCUCCCUCCAGUGUUCGGAUUCUGUUUCUCAAUAGCCAGGAAUAGUUAGGAAUGCUUUCACCUCAGCCUCCUGUCGGGCCUCAGAGUGAACCAGGUCAGAAACGACGUCUAUUUCUCUCCAUUAUCCCACAGAUAUCCGGAGCACGUUCUCACCCACAGGACUUCUCAGUCUGGAAAGACUUUUCCCAUGCAGUUUGUUAAUCCAAGCUGUGCCAUUGACUUGGACAAGUCACUUUGCUACCCUAAGCCUCUGAGUCCCCAUCAACAAAAUGGAACUAGCUGUUUUAUUAAAAAAAAUAAGUAAAUCUCGUUGACCAUCAGGGAGGUGACAAGUCACAGAGCUGAAACGAAGGUAGCUUGGAUUCCACUCCAUUCUGGGUUGGGAAGUUGGGUGCUUCCCACUGGGCAGUUCUUGAAGCUCCCUUCUCUGAAAGUGGGGAUGAAGACAUGGAUAAAGGUCCUUAAGACAUAAGAGCUCCUUCCAGUCUCGUGGGUCUUCUCGGCAGAACCCUUGCUUGGCUGGAAUUCCAUCCACUCUCUGCAAGGCAUAACUUCCUGUUUCCUAGGGAGAGGGCCUGCUCAGAUGUCACCCCAGAUCUCACCAAGCCACCCUUCUUGGUCCAAAAGUGCUCUACUGUGAAUGUAGUCUUGUAGGAGUCUUGAUGAUGAACUCCUCACCAUCCAUCCUCCCAUGGGCCUUGGGCUUCUGUCCCUUGGUCCUUUAUUUCAGGUGCCCCACAGAAUGGUGCUGAAUGGUUUGCAGGGAUGUGCUUCUCUUCUGUUCGCUUAAGACCUCAAACUGAAAAAAUAUGAGGGUGGGCGGUGACUCACUGUUAUAAUCCCAGCACUUUGGGAGGCCGAGGUGGGCGGAUCAUUUGACGUCAAGAGUUUGAGACCAGCCUGGCCAAAAUGGUGAAACCCAUUGUCUAUUAGAAAUACAAAAAUUAGUUGGGUGUGUUGGGACAUCCCUGUACUCCCAGCCUGGGAAGCUGAGGCAUGAUAAUCACUUGAACCCAGGAGGCAGAGGUUGCAGUGAGCCGAGAUUGUGCCACUGCACUCCAGCCUGGGUGACAGAGCAAGACUCUGUCUGA
RNAcentral lists this long non-coding RNA (2753 nucleotides) under Homo sapiens (human). RNAcentral's name for it is "HSALNT0258248". The record is from RNAcentral. Lineage: Eukaryota; Metazoa; Chordata; Mammalia; Primates; Hominidae.